UACGGGGGGGGCAAGCGUUGUUCGGAAUUACUGGGCGUAAAGGGCUCGUAGGCGGCCAACUAAGUCAUACGUGAAAUCCCUCGGCUUAACCGGGGAACUGCGUCUGAUACUGGAUGGCUUGAGAUUGGGAGAGGGAUGCGGAAUUCCAGGUGUAGCGGUGAAAUGCGUAGAUAUCUGGAGGAACACCGGUGGCGAAGGCGGUUCUCUGGGAAUUACCUGACGCUGAGGAGCGAAAGUGUGGGGAGCGAACAGG
RNAcentral lists this ribosomal RNA (253 nucleotides) under uncultured bacterium. RNAcentral's name for it is "partial 16S ribosomal RNA". It matches the Rfam family "Bacterial small subunit ribosomal RNA", at positions 524 to 776 of the family's 1533-position model. The record is from RNAcentral.